AUCCAGCUAACGAGUCCCAAAUAGGACAAAACGCGCGUUCUGGAA
Molecule: non-coding RNA, 45 nt
Filed under: Schistosoma mansoni
Lineage: Eukaryota; Metazoa; Platyhelminthes; Trematoda; Strigeidida; Schistosomatidae
Source: RNAcentral